UGCCAGCCGCCGCGGUAAUACGGAGGGUGCAAGCGUUAAUCGGAAUUACUGGGCGUAAAGCGCGCGUAGGCGGUUUUGUCAGUCAGAUGUGAAAGCCCCGGGCUUAACCUGGGAAUUGCAUCUGAUACUGCAAGACUAGAGUAUGUUAGAGGGAAGUGGAAUUCCGGGUGUAGCGGUGAAAUGCGUAGAUAUCCGGAGGAACACCAAUGGCGAAGGCAACUUCCUGGGACAAUACUGACGCUGAGGUGCGAAAGCGUGGGGAGCAAACAGGAUUAGAUA
This 279-nucleotide ribosomal RNA is filed under the name uncultured bacterium. Its description in RNAcentral is "partial 16S ribosomal RNA". It matches the Rfam family "Bacterial small subunit ribosomal RNA", at positions 506 to 784 of the family's 1533-position model. The record is from RNAcentral.